Molecule: unclassified non-coding RNA, 223 nt
Filed under: uncultured fungus
Lineage: Eukaryota; Fungi
Description: sequence contains ITS1
Source: RNAcentral
GUAUUAUAAGAUUAUUUUUUUAUGUAAUCUCAAAAUGAGUUCAGUUCAAUUUAAUAAAGGAUAAGAUAAUUGUUGGGGACGGCCAAGAAAAAAAAUAAAUUCUUUUCUUAACCAUGUUUAAUCCCCAACAUAACAUACGGUCAAAGCCAGCACAAUGGGAAGAAGCUUCAAUGAAUGAAGACUCACUUCAGUAAUGAUCCUUCCGCAGGUUCACCUACGGAAA